Molecule: ribosomal RNA, 549 nt
Filed under: uncultured bacterium
Lineage: Bacteria
Description: bacterial SSU rRNA
Rfam family: Bacterial small subunit ribosomal RNA
Source: RNAcentral
UAGGGAAUCUUCGGCAAUGGGGGCAACCCUGACCAAGCAACGCCGCGUGAGUGAAGAAGGUUUUCGGAUCGUAAAGCUCUGUUGUAAGAGAAGAANGAGUGUGAGAGUGGAAAGUUCACACUGUGACGGUAACUUACCAGAAAGGGACGGCUAACUACGUGCCAGCAGCCGCGGUAAUACGUAGGUCCCGAGCGUUAUCCGGAUUUAUUGGGCGUAAAGCGAGCGCAGGCGGUUAGAUAAGUCUGAAGUUAAAGGCUGUGGCUUAACCAUAGUACGCUUUGGAAACUGUUUAACUUGAGUGCAGAAGGGGAGAGUGGAAUUCCAUGUGUAGCGGUGAAAUGCGUAGAUAUAUGGAGGAACACCGGUGGCGAAAGCGGCUCUCUGGUCUGUAACUGACGCUGAGGCUCGAAAGCGUGGGGAGCAAACAGGAUUAGAUACCCUGGUAGUCCACGCCGUAAACGAUGAGUGCUAGGUGUUGGGUCCUUUCCGGGACUCAGUGCCGCAGCUAACGCAUUAAGCACUCCGCCUGGGGAGUACGACCGCAAGGUU